GCAUCUCUUAACAACUUUCGUAAACACAGAUUUGUAAUGUCUUUUCUGGAAAAUGUGACUCUAUUCUCUUAAAAACAAACCGGCUAUAAAUUCGUUUGCCACACCUUUAGUUCCUCAGUCUAGUUUUGAACUUAGAGACGAUAUUUGACCCAGAAACAUGGCACAAAUUUUGAGUUGUGUUUUUCUCAUUGCUUUGAUCCUACCCUUUAUUUUUACAAUGCCAGCAACCCCAAAAACCAAUCAAGAAAAUUUAUUGGACAAUCAGAAUUCUGGUGAAGUUAUGAAUACUGCAAACACCAUGUAUUAUUAUUUCCGGCCGGUGUAUUCGUACAGAAGGGUACAAAGUCAAAGGCGGAGAGUUUAUGCUCCCAGGAGAAGAUACAGCAAUGGUUUUGAUAAAGACGAUCGAUUUCCCACAGUCGCUUAAUUUUUUUUCUGUAUUUUUUGAUUUGUGAUAUAUUUAUUUGUUGCUUAUUUAUUAUUUUUGUACAACAUAAUUACACAUAAUAAAUAUUUGUGCAUUUGAA
Molecule: long non-coding RNA, 527 nt
Organism: Tribolium castaneum (red flour beetle)
Lineage: Eukaryota; Metazoa; Arthropoda; Insecta; Coleoptera; Tenebrionidae
Exons: 2
Source: RefSeq, a predicted model, not a curated record